Long non-coding RNA from Chelonia mydas (Green sea turtle), 1302 nucleotides. RefSeq lists it as uncharacterized. Lineage: Eukaryota; Metazoa; Chordata; Testudines; Cheloniidae. The transcript has 3 exons. The record is from RefSeq and is a predicted model, not a curated record.
GGAUAGACAUAAGCAGGAAAAGGCUGGUUUGCUGAGGCAAUACUUGGGGAAGAGGGGUAGUUGAAGGAGAAGCUGGUUAAGGCACUACAGCUGGCCUAAACUGCAACAUCAGCUCCGAGGAGGAGAACUGGGCGGGAGGGCCUUCCUGUCUUAAAGCGGAAAACCAGAGAGACUGUUCAAAAUAGAGCUCAGCUGCCAGAGAGCUUUGUGGAAGCUUCUCAGUAGACAGCAGGGAAGAGGCUGUGAGAAGCCACAAAUCCAGUGUGGGAAUAGCAGUCUGCAGACCUGGUGAAGACCCUGGCAAACUGGGCAAAGUAGAAUAAGCCCAGGGAAGAGAUUGAAGGAAGAGUCCUUAGCUACCUAAAGCAGGGUUCCUGGGCUGGAACCCAGGUGAGAGGAUGUUAACCCCAGAAGGGAACUGGACUGACAGGUGACCUAGCUGAAGGGCUAGACGAUGGAAGUAGCAGAUCACUCGGAACAAGGGGUGCUGGAGUGGAGGAACCCCUGCAAUGCUGUGUCCUGAACCAACCGGGUGCUCUGGUGGAGGGGAAGGUGUGAGUGCAUACCUCUGUGUAAAGGCAUAGGUCAUUAGGCCCUUGAGCCUUGAGACCUCCCAUGAAGGCCAAUGGAAUCUGAAAGUAAAUAGCCUAAACUCACUUCAAAGGUAGGUGCAGCCUAUUUACAGCAUCUGACAAAGGUCAUUCUGUGUGUGACCCUUCCAAGGCUCUACGGUUGACCUGAGUCUUUGCCCUGCCUGAAGAAUCUAAAUCAUCUGGGCUGAACACGUUGUGAGCUGGUUGCAUGCAGUGCCUGGAUUUGGGAAACAGCUGGACAAUGGCAUCUACAUAUAGUAUAGGUAAGAGGUCUCAAGAACCCUUAGUGGUGUCUUCCAUGCUUCUCUUGGACAUUUUGACUCUUAAUGUCCAGUAUAUGCCAAGCUAUAAGCAAUCAGAUUAGCUGAAAGAAGCAGUAAGUACACACAUGUGGCACUUGUUUGAGGAAACUGCUGGGAAAUGGAAAUAUGGACUUUGAGACACAAAAAGCAGCUCUGGUACAUGAGCUCAAGGAGAAUAUCCCUUAACUGGUAGCAGUUGUAGCACCUUACAUUAUCCCUUCAGGCCUGUGACCACUAGCAGGCGAGACGAUUGCAAACCAAAAGCAAGAAAAGCCCAGUAACAUGGAAAUUUGUCGUGUCCAAUAAAGCAGCAACCUAUCUCCCUCUCUGGCUCUGAAAACCCUCUACAUCUCAGGGGCGCUCGACUCCCAUUUAGGCACCUGAAUAAAAGCAGACAUUCAAAAUUG